This 253-nucleotide ribosomal RNA is filed under the name uncultured bacterium. Its description in RNAcentral is "partial 16S ribosomal RNA". It matches the Rfam family "Bacterial small subunit ribosomal RNA", at positions 524 to 776 of the family's 1533-position model. The record is from RNAcentral.
UACGGGGGGAGCAAGCGUUGUUCGGAUUUACUGGGCGUAAAGGGCGCGUAGGCGGCCCUGUAAGUCCGUUGUGAAAGUCAAAGGCUCAACCUUUGAAAGCCGAUGGAUACUGCAGGGCUAGAGUCCGGAAGAGGCGAGUGGAAUUCCUGGUGUAGCGGUGGAAUGCGCAGAUAUCAGGAGGAACACCAAUAGCGAAGGCAGCUCGCUGGGACGGUACUGACGCUAAGGCGCGAAAGCGUGGGGAGCGAACAGG